GUCCUGAUGGCGUAACUGGUUAACGCGCCUGACUUCUAAUCAGGAGAUUCCGGGUUCGAGUCCCGGUCAGGAUG
Molecule: transfer RNA, 74 nt
Filed under: Nematocida displodere
Lineage: Eukaryota; Fungi; Microsporidia
Rfam family: tRNA
About the family: Transfer RNA (tRNA) molecules are approximately 80 nucleotides in length. Their secondary structure includes four short double-helical elements and three loops (D, anti-codon, and T loops). Further hydrogen bonds mediate the characteristic L-shaped molecular structure. tRNAs have two regions of fundamental functional importance: the anti-codon, which is responsible for specific mRNA codon recognition, and the 3' end, to which the tRNAs corresponding amino acid is attached (by aminoacyl-tRNA synthetases). tRNAs cope with the degeneracy of the genetic code in two manners: having more than one tRNA (with a specific anti-codon) for a particular amino acid; and 'wobble' base-pairing, i.e. permitting non-standard base-pairing at the 3rd anti-codon position.
Source: Rfam by way of RNAcentral